RNAcentral lists this ribosomal RNA (253 nucleotides) under uncultured bacterium. Its description in RNAcentral is "partial 16S ribosomal RNA". It matches the Rfam family "Bacterial small subunit ribosomal RNA", at positions 524 to 776 of the family's 1533-position model. The record is from RNAcentral.
UACGUAGGGGGCAAGCGUUGUCCGGAUUUAUUGGGCGUAAAGAGCGUGUAGGCGGCCUGAAAGGUCAGCUGUGAAAACUUGAGGCUCAACCUCGAGACGUCGGUUGAAACCAUCUGGCUAGAGUCCGGGAGAGGAGAGUGGAAUUCCUGGUGUAGCGGUGAAAUGCGCAGAUAUCAGGAAGAACACCCGUGGCGAAAGCGGCUCUCUGGAACGGUACUGACGCUGAGACGCGAAAGCGUGGGGAGCGAACAGG